GCUGGCUGGCGGGCCAGGAUCGAGCUCGCCGCCCGCCGGGAGCGGGCGAUGUACCAGCGGCAUCCGUGGGUGCUUCCGAUCGUCGCCGGCACCUGGCG
RNAcentral lists this transfer RNA (98 nucleotides) under Plantactinospora mayteni. RNAcentral's name for it is "tRNA-Pro". Lineage: Bacteria; Bacillati; Actinomycetota; Actinomycetes; Micromonosporales; Micromonosporaceae. The record is from RNAcentral.